UUUGAUUGGUAUGAUAAAAAUUGGGUUUUGGUUCAUUUAACCUAUUAUAUAAAAUUUGGCAGAAAUCAAGUAACGAAUUUGACAGAUCAAUGUGAUUUUAGGAUUUGAAUGAAAGCUUCUAAAUUGCUUUCAACACCCCGUGCGCAGGCACAUUGCACAGCGGUGGGGGAAAUAUAUUGCCAGCUGCCUAUACAUUAAAUAUUCGUUUAUAUUUACCAGUAUAUUAUUUAAUCACGUGGGUACCAACGGUGGCCUCACCUGUGAUGAUUCUGUAUAUCGCUCUGUGUAACCAAAAGCUGAACGCAAUUAUCGCAGUUUUUCUCUACAGUUUGCAUGACAAGGAGUUGUAUUCAUUGGUUUCCGAUGUAUAAAUUAUGCAAACGUUUGGGUCAUUCUCUUGACAACCGGCAAAAGUGAUUUAUGGGGCUAAAGUAUGGGGGAGCGCGAGCUCGCUAUCAUCCAAAGUUGAUUGAAGAACCACAUGCAAAUCAUAAUUUACGUUGGAUUUACUUUUUACUCCGAAGAAACCACAAACAUUAUUUGCCAAUAUCAUAACUGGAGCUGGACAUCUUUGGAGCUGACUGACUGAUCACCACCAGCAUCUUCAAAGGGACCUGGUACUUUGUCAGUGGACAAGGGAAAUUCAUAUUCAGGGUUCUCAAUGGCUAUAAGGUUGGGGGGCAGCUCCUCACUGUCAGAAUCUGAUUCUUGACUUUCAUACUCAGACUCAUUGUCAGAAUUUAAAAAAAAUCUCCAGAAUUUCCACAUUUGAGUUGUCUCCUUUUGAAAGACAUUGCUAAUGCUACAGCUUAACUAACUAGCUACAUACAUAAACAACAACACUUAAUGAUGCAGAGUGGGUGUCACGUGGUUGACUGCUGGCACGGCCACUUGUAUCAAUAAAUCAGAAAAUGUUUUGUGCGGCAAUUAUUUGUGUAUUUACUGUUUUAUUCACGUUUUCAAUUCUAGGUGACAAAUCAUGCAUUCUGAUUCUUGCACAGAUUGUAAUGGGCACAUAUUAUGUCUGUAAAAUACUUUUUUGAAGGUUGUACUGAUUAUGAUGAGCUAAGCUAAUUCCAGCUGUUUGUUGACAUAAAAUGCAUUCUGGGUUUCGCGUCUGUUUGACCGAAGAUGUUAUAACAAUGAGGUGAGUAAGAGUUCACUAAUUAUUUUGAGGACUUCUGGAAAUUAAUGGUGGGAUGUGAACGAUGGUAGAUGACACACCCCUUCAACAUGCAUACUAUAAACAGACCAAACUCAUCUCCUCUUCUCUUAUCUUCGGUUUCUGUGAGGAAAAAAUGCAUGGCGGCGCGCUGAAACUAAUCGUCGGUUUACUUUAAAUUUCUAUAAAAUGUUUUACCUAGUUAUUUCCAUCAAUGGUGAGCUCACCCGUGAUGUGAUUAAUUAUACAUAGUAAUUGCUAUUAGCUAAUUCAUAUUGUAGUUUGUCAGCCGAGAGUUAGAAAAUAUGACUGCUUGUGUUGGGUCAAUCUUUCCUCAGUUAGCGCUAGGACAAAUGUAGCCUACAUUUUUCUGGUUAUGAUGAUUGUGUUAUGCUAUAUAUACUUCUGUGAAUAUCUGAACAUUGCAUCCAAAAAUAAACUGCUCACAUUCUGGACAUAACUUU
Oncorhynchus kisutch (coho salmon) is the source of this 1626-nucleotide long non-coding RNA. Lineage: Eukaryota; Metazoa; Chordata; Actinopteri; Salmoniformes; Salmonidae. The record is from Ensembl.